ACGAACGCUGGCGGCGUGCCUAAUACAUGCAAGUAGAACGCUGAAGAGAGGAGCUUACUCCUCUUGGAUGAGUUGCGAACGGGUGAGUAACGCGUAGGUAACCUGCCUUGUAGCGGGGGAUAACUAUUGGAAACGAUAGCUAAUACCGCAUAACAAUGGAUGACACAUGUCAUUUAUUUGAAAGGGGCAAUUGCUCCACUACAAGAUGGACCUGCGUUGUAUUAGCUAGUAGGUGAGGUAAUGGCUCACCUAGGCGACGAUACAUAGCCGACCUGAGAGGGUGAUCGGCCACACUGGGACUGAGACACGGCCCAGACUCCUACGGGAGGCAGCAGUAGGGAAUCUUCGGCAAUAGGGGCAACCCUGACCGAGCAACGCCGCGUGAGUGAAGAAGGUUUUCGGAUCGUAAAGCUCUGUUGUAAGUCAAGAACGGGUGUGAGAGUGGAAAGUUCACACUGUGACGGUAGCUUACCAGAAAGGGACGGCUAACUACGUG
RNAcentral lists this ribosomal RNA (496 nucleotides) under uncultured bacterium. RNAcentral's name for it is "partial 16S ribosomal RNA". It matches the Rfam family "Bacterial small subunit ribosomal RNA", at positions 29 to 507 of the family's 1533-position model. The record is from RNAcentral.